This is a long non-coding RNA of Triticum aestivum (bread wheat), 1062 nucleotides long. RefSeq lists it as uncharacterized. The transcript is spliced from 6 exons. Lineage: Eukaryota; Viridiplantae; Streptophyta; Magnoliopsida; Poales; Poaceae. The record is from RefSeq and is a predicted model, not a curated record.
CAUGCUAUUUUUCUCAAAAGAAAACACUAGAUUACUACCCGUCGGACACGCAUCGGAAAUAGGUCUUCUCUUUUUGCCUAUCGUUUUCUCACGGUCUUCCACCGAACGAUCAGCACCUCCUUCCUUUCUACCCUUUUCCCCUUUCACCUUCUUGUGUCCCUGCGUAGCAGAUUUAGUGGCAUUGAAAAUAAAAGAUGAGCCAGGCUCCCCAAAAUCCCCCUUGGCAUCUUCCAUGCCGGCCGCCGCGACAUGCGCUUGUCGUCGCUAGCUCGCCACCGCAAUAUGCGCUCCUCUUUCUUCUCUCCAAGAUCCAGCCGCGUACCACUCCACCACAACAGAACUUAACGGGAUUAGCGGGAAGGAAGGACAAAUGGAACCCCAGCCAUGCAUGCAUGCGAGCUCCGACGGAUUUGUGGGCGAUAUGUUUGAAUCUCCAAGAAGCUUCAACGAGGGGCGCUGGUGCAUGCGUUCGGGUUGAAUCUCCAAGAAGCUUCACCGACUUCCCAUUGUUCAGAUCUCGAGAGACCGUAAGUUCAAUUACCACUGAGCAUCCAAAAUGGAUACAAGAUCAGAACAUGGACAAUCACCAUGCGAGUAAACCCUUUUUGUUCCUUGUGAAGUAUUACCUUUCAAUUAUUGAAACAUCAAGUUUCUUGAUGAUUCCAUUCUCUGCAAUUUCCAUUAGACAAGUGGGCUAGGUCCAAAGAUCGGGGAACAAUAUGGCGCUCUAUUUGAGGAAGAGGAAUUGAAUAGACACAAAGAGUGUAUAUUUACUUUUCUUCGAUCAGGACGUUCAGCUCUGCCUCCGCAAGCCGUUCACCCCUGCCACAGGAGGCCGUUCGACGAUGCAGCGCUAUCAUGUUGUGUUUUUUCAGUACAUGUUUUGUGUGCUUUUCAGUUCACCUACUUGAUGAUUCUAUGUCCAAUUUCCCCCCCGUUUAUGUGUUCUUCCUAUAGUAAACUAGGUGUUUGUGUUGUGCCUUAAUAAGCAUUACCUUGUAUGGAUCAAAACUACCAUAUGUUCUUGUAAAUGAAGCUCUGCUUCUGUUUUGUUUGAAGUUA